This 319-nucleotide long non-coding RNA is filed under the name Androctonus crassicauda. Lineage: Eukaryota; Metazoa; Arthropoda; Arachnida; Scorpiones; Buthidae. The record is from RNAcentral.
GGCUGCUAUGACCUUGCUCUCAUCCAAGAGCUGUGGCUUUAUAAAGGCCAAAUACGUGGACUUCUAUGUAGGGAAGGUGAAGUGUUUUCUUUUACAUCUCGUACUUCUGAUAGUGGUCCUCAAACCUGUGUUUUUAUUAGGAAAAACAUUUGUGCUUCACCUGUUUGGGACUUCUGUUUUAGAGAUCUUACCACCGUGUGGUGAAGCUAGGGAAGGGAAGUGCAUGUAGGGAAUUUAUUAUUUCCUCUGCUUAUUUCCUUUAUGAUAAAGAUGAACUUCUGCCAACACCUGAGUUUGGGCUUUUGGCAGAAUUUUGUCA